RNAcentral lists this ribosomal RNA (237 nucleotides) under uncultured bacterium. RNAcentral describes it as "partial 16S ribosomal RNA". It matches the Rfam family "Bacterial small subunit ribosomal RNA", at positions 540 to 776 of the family's 1533-position model. The record is from RNAcentral.
GUUGUUCGGAAUUACUGGGCGUAAAGGGCUCGUAGGCGGCCAACUAAGUCAUACGUGAAAUCCCCCGGCUUAACCGGGGAACUGCGUCUGAUACUGGAUGGCUUGAGUUCGGGAGAGGGAUGCGGAAUUCCAGGUGUAGCGGUGAAAUGCGUAGAUAUCAGGAGGAACACCGAUGGCGAAGGCAGGUCUCUGGGCCAUAACUGACGCUGAGAAGCGAAAGCAUGGGGAGCGAACAGG